GACGAACGCUGGCGGCGUGCUUAACACAUGCAAGUCGAACGGAGAGGCCCUGGCUUGGUGUGGUGCUUGAGUGGCGAACGGGUGAGUAACACGUGAGUAACCUGCCCUGGACUGUGGGAUAACUUCAGGAAACUGGGGCUAAUACCGGAUAGGAGCACCUGCUGCAUGGUGGGGGUUGGAAAGUUUCGGCGGUUGGGGAUGGACUCGCGGCUUAUCAGCUUGUUGGUGGGGUAGUGGCUUACCAAGGCUUUGACGGGUAGCCGGCCUGGGAGGGUGACCGGCCACAUUGGGACUGGGAUACGGCCCAGAGUCCUACGGGAGGCAGCAGUGGGGAAUAUUGCAAGAUGGGCGGAAGCCUGAUGCAGCAACGCCGCGUGCGGGAUGACGGCCUUAGGGUUGUAAACCGCUUUCGCGUGUGACGAAGCGUGAGUGACGGUAAUGGGUAAAGAAGCACCGGCUAACUACGUG
This 468-nucleotide ribosomal RNA is filed under the name uncultured bacterium. RNAcentral describes it as "partial 16S ribosomal RNA". It matches the Rfam family "Bacterial small subunit ribosomal RNA", at positions 28 to 507 of the family's 1533-position model. The record is from RNAcentral.